ACUUUUCCAUUAACAUACUCUCUCUCUCUCUCUGUCUCUCUCUUAACUUUUUCAUUGAAGAUAUAGAUGUAUCAGUCUUUCCAGGUCAAAUUGCCUAUGAAUUUCUAGCCUAUCCAGCAACAGUUACAGAAGACUGUGGAGAUCAGCCCAGUGUGCCGCUAUAAAAUUUAAGUUUUCAUCUCUUGCAAGUGUCCAUCUGAUAUUCUUGUCACCAUCUGUUGCUUCAUUCUAUAGGCAAACAGAAACUUAAAAUGAAAAAGAGAAAUGAGGGAAAAGUUACUGAUCUUAUUGUGUUUGAAUUUAACAAGGGCUGUCUACAAACCUGUGGCAUGCCACAUUGUCUGUAGGUCACAUGAGUGGCUUGUAAAAUGAAGAGAAACUCUUAGAAGAAAAAGAAAACUUAAAAUUUGACUGUUU
This is a non-coding RNA of Camellia sinensis, 417 nucleotides long. Lineage: Eukaryota; Viridiplantae; Streptophyta; Magnoliopsida; Ericales; Theaceae. The record is from RefSeq and is a predicted model, not a curated record.